GACAGAGGAUGCAAGCGUUAUCCGGAAUGAUUGGGCGUAAAGCGUCUGUAGGUGGCUUUUUAAGUCUGCCGUCAAAUCCCAGGGCUUAACCCUGGACAGGCGGUGGAAACUACCAAGCUGGAGUACGGUAGGGGCAGGGGGAAUUUCCGGUGGAGCGGUGAAAUGCGUAGAGAUCGGAAAGAACACCAACGGCGAAAGCACUCUGCUGGGCCGACACUGACGCUGAGAGACGAAAGCUAGGGGAGCGAAUGGG
This 253-nucleotide ribosomal RNA is filed under the name uncultured bacterium. RNAcentral describes it as "partial 16S ribosomal RNA". It matches the Rfam family "Bacterial small subunit ribosomal RNA", at positions 524 to 776 of the family's 1533-position model. The record is from RNAcentral.